This 1033-nucleotide ribosomal RNA is filed under the name uncultured gamma proteobacterium Sva0304. RNAcentral's name for it is "bacterial SSU rRNA". It matches the Rfam family "Bacterial small subunit ribosomal RNA", at positions 8 to 1036 of the family's 1533-position model. Lineage: Bacteria; Pseudomonadati; Pseudomonadota; Gammaproteobacteria. The record is from RNAcentral.
AGAGUUUGAUCAUGGCUCAGAUUGAACGCUGGCGGCAUGCCUAACACAUGCAAGUCGAACGGAAACGAUGGGAGCUUGCUCCCAGGCGUCGAGUGGCGGACGGGUGAGUAAUACUUAGGAAUCUGCCCAGUAGUGGGGGACAACUCGAGGAAACUCGAGCUAAUACCGCAUACGCCCUACGGGGGAAAGCGGAGGAUCUUUCGGGACUUCGCGCUAUUGGAUGAGCCUAAGUCGGAUUAGCUUGUUGGUGAGGUAAAGCUCACCAAGGCGACGAUCCGUAGCUGGUCUGAGAGGACGAUCAGCCACACUGGGACUGAGACACGGCCCAGACUCCUACGGGAGGCAGCAGUGGGGAAUAUUGGACAAUGGGGGCAACCCUGAUCCAGCAAUGCCGCGUGUGUGAAGAAGGCCUGCGGGUUGUAAAGCACUUUCAGUAGAGAAGAAAAGCUUAGGGUUAAUACCCCUGAGUCUUGACGUUACCUACAGAAGAAGCUCCGGCUAACUCCGUGCAGCAGCCGCGGUAAUACGGAGGGAGCGAGCGUUAAUCGGAAUUACUGGGCGUAAAGCGCGCGUAGGCGGCUUUGUAAGUCGGAUGUGAAAGCCCUGGGCUCAACCUGGGAAUGGCAUUCGAAACUGCAGAGCUAGAGUAUGGUAGAGGGAAGUGGAAUUUCCGGUGUAGCGGUGAAAUGCGUAGAUAUCGGAAGGAACACCAGUGGCGAAGGCGACUUCCUGGGCCAAUACUGACGCUGAGGUGCGAAAGCGUGGGAGCAAACAGGAUUAGAUACCCUGGUAGUCCACGCCGUAAACGAUGAGAACUAGAUGUCGGGAGGGUUUGCCUUUCGGUGUCGCAGCUAACGCGUUAAGUUCUCCGCCUGGGGAGUACGCCGGCAACGGUAAAACUCAAAGGAAUUGACGGGGACCCGCACAAGCGGUGGAGCAUGUGGUUUAAUUCGAUGCAACGCGAAGAACCUUACCUGCCCUUGACAUUGAUAGAAUCCUGUAGAGAUACGGGAGUGCCUUGGCCUUGAAAACA